GCGGCGGACGGGUGAGUAACACGUGGGCAACCUGCCUGUAAGACCGGGAUAACUUGCGGAAACGUGAGCUAAUACCGGAUAAUGAUUUCUGCCGCAUGACAGGAAUCUGAAAGACGGCGCAAGCUGUCACUUACAGAUGGGCCCGCGGCGCAUUAGCUAGUUGGUGGGGUAACGGCCUACCAAGGCGACGAUGCGUAGCCGACCUGAGAGGGUGAUCGGCCACACUGGGACUGAGACACGGCCCAGACUCCUACGGGAGGCAGCAGUAGGGAAUCUUCCGCAAUGGACGAAAGUCUGACGGAGCAACGCCGCGUGAGCGAAGAAGGUCUUCGGAUCGUAAAGCUCUGUUGUCAGGGAAGAACAAGUACGAGAGUAACUGCUCGUACCUUGACGGUACCUGACCAGAAAGCCACGGCUAACUACGUGCCAGCAGCCGCGGUAAUACGUAGGUGGCAAGCGUUGUCCGGAAUUAUUGGGCGUAAAGCGCGCGCAGGCGGUCCUUUAAGUCUGAUGUGAAAGCCCGCG
RNAcentral lists this ribosomal RNA (525 nucleotides) under uncultured bacterium. RNAcentral describes it as "bacterial SSU rRNA". It matches the Rfam family "Bacterial small subunit ribosomal RNA", at positions 95 to 606 of the family's 1533-position model. The record is from RNAcentral.